CAUGCCGCGUGCUUACCAUGCAAGUCGAACGGAGAUUCAGCAAUGGAUCUUAGUGGCGAACGGGUGAGUAACGCGUAGGCAAUCUGCCUUCUAGAUGGGGACAACAUCCCGAAAGGGGUGCUAAUACCGAAUGUUGUACCGUUUCCGCAUGGAGAUGAUACUAAAGGUGGCCUCUGAAUAUGCUACCGCUAGAAGAUGAGCCUGCGUCUGAUUAGCUAGUUGGAGGGGUAACGGCCCACCAAGGCUUCGAUCAGUAGCCGGUCUGAGAGGAUGAACGGCCACACUGGGACUGAGACACGGCCCAGACUCCUACGGGAGGCAGCAGUGGGGAAUCUUCCGCAAUGGACGAAAGUCUGACGGAGCAACGCCGCGUGAGUGAAGAAGGUUUUCGGAUCGUAAAGCUCUUUCGUUAGGGACGAACGUGCUCUUUGUGAAUAAUGAGGAGUAAUGACGGUACCUAAAUAAGAAGCCACGGCUAACUACGUGCCAGCAGCCGCGGUAAUACGUAGGUGGCAAGCGUUGUCCGGAAUUAUUGGGCGUAAAGCGCGCGCAGGCGGGAUAUCAAGUCUGUCUUAAAAGUGCGAGGCUCAACCUCGUGAGGGGACGGAAACUGGUAUUCUUGAGUGUCGGAGAGGAAAGUGGAAUUCCAAGUGUAGCGGUGAAAUGCGUAGAGAUUUGGAAGAACACCAGUGGCGAAAGCGACUUUCUGGACGAUGUCUGACGCUGAGGCGCGAAAGCUAGGGGAGCGAACGGGAUUAGAUACCCCGGUAGUCCUAGCCGUAAACGAUGGGUACUAGUGUAGGGGUAUCGACCCCUCCUG
RNAcentral lists this ribosomal RNA (820 nucleotides) under uncultured Anaerovibrio sp. RNAcentral's name for it is "bacterial SSU rRNA". It matches the Rfam family "Bacterial small subunit ribosomal RNA", at positions 36 to 844 of the family's 1533-position model. The record is from RNAcentral. Lineage: Bacteria; Bacillati; Bacillota; Negativicutes; Selenomonadales; Selenomonadaceae.